UGGUUCUGGCAUCGAUGAAGAACGCAGCGAAAUGCGAUAAGUAAUGCGAAUUGCAGAAUUCCGUGAGUCAUCGAAUCUUUGAACGCACAUUGCGCCCUUUGGUAUUCCGAAGGGCAUGCCUGUUCGAGCGUCAUUAACACCCCUCAAGCCUGGCUUGUUGUUGGACCUGGUAAAUUGUUUCGCCGGUCCCAAAGACAAUGGCGGGUCAACGGCUCCCCGGUACGCUGAGCUUUUCAAGCAUGUACCGUGGUGGUUUGUUGAUCUGGUCUUGAAAUUUCUCAAUGUUGACCUCGGAUCAGGUAGGAAUACCCGCUGA
Molecule: unclassified non-coding RNA, 316 nt
Filed under: uncultured fungus
Lineage: Eukaryota; Fungi
Description: partial contains 5.8S ribosomal RNA and internal transcribed spacer 2
Rfam family: 5.8S ribosomal RNA (bases 1-133)
Source: RNAcentral